GGGGGUUAAAAAACCGUUAAGAAGAUUGUAAAUUUAGUCAUUUUAGUCCAAAUGAAUGCUAUAAUAGUGCUUUUACUAAAUCUGUUAAUUAUAUGUACCUACCAAUUUUCUAAAUCAGACAGUCAUAUUGUGCAAAUCGGGCGUCGAACUUGUGUUCGUCAGAUUAAGGAAAUGCGUACAAAUAAUUGUCAGAUUAAGUUAUAGAAAAAUUAUAGCAUUAACUUGGACCAAAACGACCAAAUCCACAAGCUACUUAAUGAUAUUUUAACCACGCGAAUGUUUAAAAAAUCUGUAGACUCUGUCCAGCUCGCUGGAAAAUAUUAUAUAACCUUUUUUUCUACCUAUCAUCUAAUCUUUCGAUUCCAAUAGGUCUCUAAGAUGCUCGAGUAACUACACACUCAGCUAUUAAUGUUGAACCGGUUAACUGUCUUGGCGCUGAAGGCCCCAAAAUCGUCAUUUUCAUUAUUUUCAAUUUAAGGGUAGUUCAGUUUAUUCGUUUUCAAGUCCAUGUACUGAAUUCCAUAUUCUAUUUUAAUGUUAUAUUCCGAUAUACAUCUCGCUAGUUAUUUAAAUGGAAAUUGUGAGAUUGUGAACCGAUAAGCCGUAUUUUAGGACAGAUUUUACAUUUAUGUAAAAUAGCAAUUUCAGUGCUAGCCUUUACUUACUUCAAAAUCAGAUAAGUUAACACGUGGCAAAAACAAUUUUAAUCUUAAAAUAAAUACUCACCCACCAGUUUAAAUGCUAAAACGAUAUAAAACCGCGGCCGUAGAAUCUGAAAUUCACACCGAAUACGAUAAAACGUAUUUAAAUAAAGGCUCAUGUCCACAAAACAUUCGGUGUGGCGUCGUUAGCUGCAGGAGAUGCAUUUAUUUAUGAAAUGUAAAUGCACUGAUUGUAAUAACAAAACUCGAAGGCACUGCUCUCCUCUAUAUUAAGAUGUAUUAUUUGCAUACUGUAUGUGUAUACUAUUGUAAGAGUGUGACCGAGGCUACGGGUGGCAAAUCUGAUAUUACCUUUCUAUCCUCAUUUAACCUUGUUUAUAAAGCUAUUUUUAAGCUCAUAGCAUGAGAAAUAUCACAUUCGAAUGAUUUUCUGUUUAAGACGGCCAAAGACGUAAGAGAUUAAAUUGAUAAAAUAACAUAAUGCCUGAGUAACUAUUUUACCUAUUUUUAUUUAAAGGUAAAAAGCCAAAAAAAUAUCGGAAUAAUUUAUAACUAUAAGGCGCUUAGCACACUGGAUUCGUUUCGCAGGCAUGUUUGAUCGAGACAACGCCAUGCGCAUAUUAAUAGUAUCAAUAACUAGUACCAUAAAAUUUUGUCCAAUCAUGUCGUAACUAACGGACAUAAAAGAUAAAAUCACUAUUAAACUACUUAAUUUAGAUAAAAAGUUAUUACAAAUAAUGAAUCGGUAAUUGGCAGUGAAAGGUAUGGUGAGUCGUGACGUGUAGGUGACGUCACGAGCUCGUCGUGCGCACGCCGCGCGCUGGCGCGUGCGCGACGUAGCCGAAUUCCGCGACACACGGCUGAUCGAUCAGUGACAACAGUUUAGUUUCGAUUGUAGAAGAAUAUUGUUUUGAAGACGCGUUGCACAUUUAAAUAAAAACAUGCUAGUUAACUCCCUGGUGCGGGAGAAACGAACUUAUAUUGAUAGUGUCUGUGAAGGUUGAAUAUCAAAAUCUAACAGAUCACGUUUUUAUUGGAGUUCUGUUACCAUGCAUAUAGUUCUGAGUUGAUAUCAAGAUAUCUGUUGCUAUUUAAGUUUGACAAAAAAUGUAAUUUACCUAAAAAAUAUAUAACAUAUAUUUUUAUUAACGUUUUUACUGCCAACGAGAGCUACGCGUUUAUUUUUCCGCUUUGUAGCGAAAAGCGCCUACGAACAGAGAACCUGCCCAGUGAAUGUGUUAAUCAUACUUAAAUCAGUUAAACGGUAUGCUCGUCUCUCAUACAAAGUUUUCUUAAAGAUCAUUUAAAGUAAUUAUAUUUAGUGUAGUGAAAUUUAAUAUAAAUAUAAGUAGGAAUAUACAGUUAUAAUUGGCUCAUUCUAUUGAAUAAGUCAAUCCACAUAGACUGACUAGGAAACCUUUUAAAUUUUUUAUGUCUCUCUCUCUUUUAUACUUAGAAAACAACCAUGACUCAGGAACAAAUAUCUCUGUUCAUCACAUAAAUACAAAAUGCCCUUACCGGGAUUCGAACCCGGGACCAUCGGCUUCAUAAUGACUACAUAACGUAUCGCUAUCUCAUGGCAGGAUUUCAUAUAAAUUCAAAGAAACAAUGGACGUCAUAGAACUUAAUUAACACGAACCAACUCUACAACAUAACAAUAUGUCUAUGGGACACGUGGAGUCGUGAUUGACCGGCGUACACGCAGGCCAGUAAACUCCACAAACCGUUAUAAAGGAUUUUAAAAAAAUGGAACAUAGUAUAAGAUGAGAGGUGUGUCCUGACGUAACUUUUCGUGACUGACUCUCGUGACUCUUCUGACCAGACUUGGCUAAGCCUUCGUAUUAAAAAGCAAAUCUACAUUCUGCACUCGUAUUUUUAUUUGAAAACGGUUAAGUGAUUUGUUUCGUGUUCGAUUUUUUUCAGAUGUAUUUUUUAUAAUCCCGUUAGGGUCCCGUACACAAAGGGUAAAACGAGACCCUAUUACUAAGACUCCGCUGGCCGUCCGUCUGUCUGUCUGUCCGUCUGUCACCAGGCUGUAUCUCAUGAACCGUGAUAGUUAGACAGUUGAAAUUUUAACAGAUGAUGUAUUUCUGUUGCCGCAAUAACAACAAAU
Cydia pomonella (codling moth) is the source of this 2775-nucleotide long non-coding RNA. RefSeq lists it as uncharacterized. The record is from RefSeq and is a predicted model, not a curated record. The transcript has 2 exons. NCBI's taxonomy places the organism in Eukaryota, Metazoa, Arthropoda, Insecta, Lepidoptera, Tortricidae.